CAGCCGCCGCGGGAACACGAAGGGGGCUAGCGUUGCUCGGAAUUACUGGGCGUAAAGGGAGCGUAGGCGGAUCGUUAAGUUGGGGGUGAAAGCCCGGGGCUCAACCUCGGAAUUGCCUUCAAUACUGGCGAUCUUGAGUAUGGAAGAGGUAUGUGGAACUCCGAGUGUAGAGGUGAAAUUCGUAGAUAUUCGGAAGAACACCAGUGGCGAAGGCGACAUACUGGUCCAUUACUGACGCUGAGGCUCGAAAGCGUGGGGAGCAAACAGGAUUAGAUACCCCGGUAGUCCCUGUCUCUUAUAC
RNAcentral lists this ribosomal RNA (301 nucleotides) under uncultured bacterium. RNAcentral's name for it is "partial 16S ribosomal RNA". It matches the Rfam family "Bacterial small subunit ribosomal RNA", at positions 509 to 807 of the family's 1533-position model. The record is from RNAcentral.